This 465-nucleotide ribosomal RNA is filed under the name Vreelandella stevensii. Its description in RNAcentral is "partial 16S ribosomal RNA". It matches the Rfam family "Bacterial small subunit ribosomal RNA", at positions 338 to 795 of the family's 1533-position model. The record is from RNAcentral. Lineage: Bacteria; Pseudomonadati; Pseudomonadota; Gammaproteobacteria; Oceanospirillales; Halomonadaceae.
CCUACGGGUGGCAGCAGUGGGGAAUAUUGGACAAUGGGCGAAAGCCUGAUCCAGCCAUGCCGCGUGUGUGAAGAAGGCCUUCGGGUUGUAAAGCACUUUCAGUGGGGAAGAAAGCCUUGGGGCUAAUACCCUCGAGGAAGGACAUCACCCACAGAAGAAGCACCGGCUAACUCCGUGCCAGCAGCCGCGGUAAUACGGAGGGUGCGAGCGUUAAUCGGAAUUACUGGGCGUAAAGCGCGCGUAGGCGGUCUGAUAAGCCGGUUGUGAAAGCCCCGGGCUCAACCUGGGAACGGCAUCCGGAACUGUCAGGCUUGAGUGCAGGAGAGGAAGGUAGAAUUCCCGGUGUAGCGGUGAAAUGCGUAGAGAUCGGGAGGAAUACCAGUGGCGAAGGCGGCCUUCUGGACUGACACUGACGCUGAGGUGCGAAAGCGUGGGUAGCAAACAGGAUUAGAUACCCGAGUAGUC